AGGGAAUCUUCCGCAAUGGACGAAAGUCUGACGGAGCAACGCCGCGUGAGUGAUGAAGGUUUUCGGAUCGUAAAGCUCUGUUGCCAGGGAAGAACGUCCGUUAGAGUAACUGCUAACGGAGUGACGGUACCUGAGAAGAAAGCCCCGGCUAACUACGUGCCAGCAGCCGCGGUAAUACGUAGGGGGCAAGCGUUGUCCGGAAUUAUUGGGCGUGAAGCGCGCGCAGGCGGCUGUUUAAGUCUGGUGUAUAAUCCUGGGGCUCAACUCCGGGUCGCACUGGAAACUGGAUGGCUUGAGUGCAGAAGAGGAGAGUGGAAUUCCACGUGUAGCGGUGAAAUGCGUAGAGAUGUGGAGGAACACCAGUGGCGAAGGCGACUCUCUGGGCUGUAACUGACGCUGAGGCGCGAAAGCGUGGGGAGCAAAC
This 424-nucleotide ribosomal RNA is filed under the name uncultured bacterium. RNAcentral's name for it is "bacterial SSU rRNA". It matches the Rfam family "Bacterial small subunit ribosomal RNA", at positions 356 to 773 of the family's 1533-position model. The record is from RNAcentral.